CCUACGGGGGGCAGCAGUGAGGAAUAUUGGUCAAUGGGCGCGAGCCUGAACCAGCCAAGUAGCGUGAAGGAUGAAUGCACUGAGGGUUGUAAACUUCUUUUAUCAAGGAAUAAAGUGAGGCACGUGUGCCUUUUUGUAUGUACUUUAUGAAUAAGGAUCGGCUAACUCCGUGCCAGCAGCCGCGGUAAUACGGAGGAUCCGAGCGUUAUCCGGAUUUAUUGGGUUUAAAGGGAGCGUAGAUGGGUUGUUAAGUCAGGUGUGAAAGGUUGGGGCUCAACCGUAAAAUUGCAAUUGAUACUGGCAGUCUUGAGUAUAGUUGAGGUAGGCGGAAUUCGUGGUGUAGCGGUGAAAUGCUUAGAUAUCACGAAGAACUCCGAUUGCGAAGGCAGCUUACUAAACUGCCACUGACAUUGAUGCUCGAAAGUGUGGGUAUCAAACAGGAUUAGAUACCCUAGUAGUC
This 460-nucleotide ribosomal RNA is filed under the name uncultured bacterium. Its description in RNAcentral is "partial 16S ribosomal RNA". It matches the Rfam family "Bacterial small subunit ribosomal RNA", at positions 338 to 795 of the family's 1533-position model. The record is from RNAcentral.